GAUGAACGCUGGCGGCGUGCCUAAUACAUGCAAGUCGAGCGAACAGACGAGGAGCUUGCUCCUCUGACGUUAGCGGCGGACGGGUGAGUAACACGUGGAUAACCUACCUAUAAGACUGGGAUAACUUCGGGAAACCGGAGCUAAUACCGGAUAAUAUAUUGAACCGCAUGGUUCAAUAGUGAAAGACGGUUUUGCUGUCACUUAUAGAUGGAUCCGCGCCGCAUUAGCUAGUUGGUAAGGUAACGGCUUACCAAGGCGACGAUGCGUAGCCGACCUGAGAGGGUGAUCGGCCACACUGGAACUGAGACACGGUCCAGACUCCUACGGGAGGCAGCAGUAGGGAAUCUUCCGCAAUGGGCGAAAGCCUGACGGAGCAACGCCGCGUGAGUGAUGAAGGUCUUCGGAUCGUAAAACUCUGUUAUUAGGGAAGAACAAAUGUGUAAGUACCUAUGCACGUCUUGACGGUACCUAAUCAGAAAGCCACGGCUAACUACGUG
This 497-nucleotide ribosomal RNA is filed under the name uncultured bacterium. RNAcentral describes it as "partial 16S ribosomal RNA". It matches the Rfam family "Bacterial small subunit ribosomal RNA", at positions 28 to 507 of the family's 1533-position model. The record is from RNAcentral.